RNAcentral lists this transfer RNA (73 nucleotides) under Phrynosoma platyrhinos (Desert horned lizard). Its description in RNAcentral is "tRNA-OTHER". The record is from RNAcentral. Lineage: Eukaryota; Metazoa; Chordata; Lepidosauria; Squamata; Phrynosomatidae.
GGCCAGUGUGGUGUAGUGGUUUCAGUGUUGGACUAUGGCUCUGGGGACCAGGGUUCAAUUCCCAGCCCGGCCA